This is a non-coding RNA of Oncorhynchus masou masou (cherry salmon), 96 nucleotides long. Lineage: Eukaryota; Metazoa; Chordata; Actinopteri; Salmoniformes; Salmonidae. The record is from the annotation of a RefSeq genome assembly.
ACCAGGAUGGCCGAGAGGUUAAGGCGUUGGACUUAAGAUCCAAUGGACAUAUGUCCUCGUGGGUUGGUAUAAUUUCAUCUAUCCCCACUCCUGGUA